CUUAACACAUGCAAGUCGAACGAAGAGCGAUGGAAGCUUGCUUCUAUCAAUCUUAGUGGCGAACGGGUGAGUAACGCGUAAUCAACCUGCCCUUCAGAGGGGGACAACAGUUGGAAACGACUGCUAAUACCGCAUACGAUCUAACCUCGGCAUCGAGGAAAGAUGAAAGGUGGCCUCUAUUUAUAAGCUAUCACUGAAGGAGGGGAUUGCGUCUGAUUAGCUAGUUGGAGGGGUAACGGCCCACCAAGGCGAUGAUCAGUAGCCGGUCUGAGAGGAUGAACGGCCACAUUGGGACUGAGACACGGCCCAGACUCCUACGGGAGGCAGCAGUGGGGAAUCUUCCGCAAUGGACGAAAGUCUGACGGAGCAACGCCGUCGUGAGUGAUGACGGCCUUCGGGUUGUAAAGCUCUGUUAAUCGGGACGAAAGGCCUUCUUGCGAACAGUUAGAAGGAUUGACGGUACCGGAAUAGAAAGCCACGGCUAACUACGUGCCAGCAGCCGCGGUAAUACGUAGGUGGCAAGCGUUGUCCGGAAUUAUUGGGCGUAAAGCGCGCGCAGGCGGAUCAGUUAGUCUGUCUUAAAAGUUCGGGGCUUAACCCCGUGAUGGGAUGGAAACUGCUGAUCUAGAGUAUCGGAGAGGAAAGUGGAAUUCCUAGUGUAGCGGUGAAAUGCGUAGAUAUUAGGAAGAACACCAGUGGCGAAGGCGACUUUCUGGACGAAAACUGACGCUGAGGCGCGAAAGCCAGGGGAGCGAACGGGAUUAGAUAUCCCGGUAGUCCUGGCCGUAAACGAUGGGUACUAGGUGUAGGAGGUAUCGACCCCUUCUGUGCCGGAGUUAACGCAAUAAGUACCCCGCCUGGGGAGUACGACCGCAAGGUUGAAACUCAAAGGAAUUGACGGGGGCCCGCACAAGCGGUGGAGUAUGUGGUUAAAUUCGACGCAACGCG
This 948-nucleotide ribosomal RNA is filed under the name Veillonella parvula. Its description in RNAcentral is "bacterial SSU rRNA". It matches the Rfam family "Bacterial small subunit ribosomal RNA", at positions 47 to 963 of the family's 1533-position model. The record is from RNAcentral. Lineage: Bacteria; Bacillati; Bacillota; Negativicutes; Veillonellales; Veillonellaceae.